CCUACGGGUGGCAGCAGUGGGGGAUAUUGCACAAUGGGGGAAACCCUGAUGCAGCGACGCCGCGUGUGGGAAGACGGUCCUCUGGAUUGUAAACCACUGUCCCCAGGGACGAAAAUGACGGUACCUGGGGAGGAAGCUCCGGCUAACCACGUGCCAGCAGCCGCGGUAAUACGUAGGGAGCGAGCGUUGUCCGGAAUUACUGGGUGUAAAGGGAGCGUAGGCGGGGAUGCAAGUUGGGUGUAAAAACUACCGGCUCAACUGGUAGUCGCACUCAAAACUGCAGCUCUUGAGUGAAGUAGAGGCAGGCGGAAUGCCUGGUGUAGCGGUGAAAUGCGUAGAGAUUAGGAGGAACACCAGUGGCGAAGGCAGCCUGCUGGGCUUUUACUGACGCUGAGGCUCGAAAGUGUGGGGAGCAAACAGGAUUAGAUACCCCAGUAGUC
Molecule: ribosomal RNA, 440 nt
Filed under: uncultured bacterium
Lineage: Bacteria
Description: partial 16S ribosomal RNA
Rfam family: Bacterial small subunit ribosomal RNA
Source: RNAcentral